GAUGAACGCUGGCGGCGUGCCUAAUACAUGCAAGUCGAGCGAACAGACGAGGAGCUUGCUCCUUCGACGUUAGCGGCGGACGGGUGAGUAACACGUAGGUAACCUACCUAUAAGACUGGGAUAACUUCGGGAAACCGGAGCUAAUACCGGAUAAUAUUUCGAACCGCAUGGUUCGAUAGUGAAAGAUGGCUUUGCUAUCACUUAUAGAUGGACCUGCGCCGCAUUAGCUAGUUGGUAAGGUAACGGCUUACCAAGGCAACGAUACGUAGCCGACCUGAGAGGGUGAUCGGCCACACUGGAACUGAGACACGGUCCAGACUCCUACGGGAGGCAGCAGUAGGGAAUCUUCCGCAAUGGGCGAAAGCCUGACGGAGCAACGCCGCGUGAGUGAUGAAGGUCUUCGGAUCGUAAAACUCUGUUAUUAGGGAAGAACAAACGUGUAAGUAACUGAGCACGUCUUGACGGUACCUAAUCAGAAAGCCACGGCUAACUACGUG
RNAcentral lists this ribosomal RNA (497 nucleotides) under uncultured bacterium. Its description in RNAcentral is "partial 16S ribosomal RNA". It matches the Rfam family "Bacterial small subunit ribosomal RNA", at positions 28 to 507 of the family's 1533-position model. The record is from RNAcentral.